CUUUAUUUAAAUUUUGUUUUCCAUUAACUCUAUUUGGAUCUUGUUUCUUUUUAGUAACCACAGUUUGAAUUCGGGAUCAGCUAGAGCCAUGCACGUUCUAAAGCAUCCGAGACGUAAUAAUGGAGUGAUCGAUCCCAAGGGAGAUAUGCAGUUUACGGAACAUCAGGACUUUCACACUAUCAAUCAGCCCGCUUCGCUCAAAGACUCUUUCUCAAUGCUACAUAUAUGGUUCAUAUACUGAAAGGACAUUGGGGCGAGACUGAUACCUGAAAUAAUCAGAACUACCAAGGACAAGAGAUACACAUCGAAUCUAUCGAAGAUUUGAACUCAACUAAGGCAUCAUGGUUAGGAAUAGGCCUUUAUCCAGGCAGGACAUUUAAACAAGACUGAGUCCUGUAAUCUGCAAAACUGCCCAGGAUUAAAGACAGGCAUCGAAGCUAUUGGAAAUCUGAACUCAAUUAAGGCAUCGUAAUUAGGAAUUGACAUUUAUCCAGGCAGGACAUUCGGACAAGACUGAGUCCUGUAAUCUACAAAACUGCCCAGGAUUAAAGAUGAGCAUCGAAUCUAUUAGAUAUGUGAACAGAACUACGGCAUCAUAAUCAAUAAUUGGCAUUAGAACCAGUCAUCAAUAUUGAAGCUAACAAGUGGAAUCAUGAUUAGUGCAGAACAUCAAGUCCACUAGGGCACAAAGGACCAGACCAGUGAAAUCCAUUCCACUAUUUAUGGACCCAGUCAAGGUAGCAGGACCAGUGAUGGACAUCGAAGUCAACAACAGGUGGAAUCUCAAUCAGUGGAGAACAUGAGGACCACCAGGACAUGGAGGAACUACACCAGCGGACCCAAGGAUCCGAAGACUUCGGGGCCCCAAAGCUCUGGGGUUGGAAGGAAUCGGAUUCCAGGAUCUCCAGGUACGAGAACUUCGAACUUCGAAAUCUUUGAAAUUCGACGUUUUCGCACUGGGAAUCCUCAAAUUCGAAAUCUUUCAACCCCGAAGCGUUAGGGCACGGGGAGGGCACCCGGGGAUCGCCCCGGGUGCAGGACGCGGGGAGGGGCGCUACGGCCUCUAAAGGGGUCUGGGGACGGGAGGUGGCACCCGGUGAUCACCCCGGGUGCAGGACGCGAGGUGGCACCCGGGGAUCGCCUCGGGUGCAGGACGCGGGGUGGCACCCGGGGAUCGCCCCGGGUGCAGGACGCGGGGUGGCACCCGGGGAUCGCCUCGGGUGCAG
Molecule: long non-coding RNA, 1226 nt
Filed under: Agrilus planipennis (emerald ash borer)
Lineage: Eukaryota; Metazoa; Arthropoda; Insecta; Coleoptera; Buprestidae
Description: uncharacterized LOC112905123, transcript variant X1
Source: RNAcentral